This 337-nucleotide long non-coding RNA is filed under the name Bos taurus (domestic cattle). RNAcentral describes it as "long non-coding RNA NONBTAT001680". The record is from RNAcentral. Lineage: Eukaryota; Metazoa; Chordata; Mammalia; Artiodactyla; Bovidae.
GUUUUCAAUUUAAGUUUUAACAAGAACAAUGCAGUUGGGGAAAUUAUCAUCAAUAUGUCAUUUCAAGCAUCCAGAUGACCACCUAAGCCAUCCUCACCAACUUUCAGGCAGUUUCUUAGUAUACGCACGUUUUCCUUUCUGUCUUUCCAGGAGAAAGUUUCAUGUUAGGACACAUGCUGUUGACUUCGACUUCAGAAGUUCUCAGUCAUGCUGAUCUAGGAAUCUGACUGCCUUGUCCACAGUUAGUCAUCACCAGCCACAAAGCAAAUUCCAUUGUUUAACAAGCUGCAAUUGCCAACCCCAUUUAUACUGUUCUCCUUUAUAAAAACAAGGAUUC